GGUGGCUCAGUGGUAGAGAGCUUGCCUUGCAUGCAUGAAGCCCUGGGUUCGAUUCCUCAGCACCA
Non-coding RNA from Dipodomys ordii (Ord's kangaroo rat), 65 nucleotides. The record is from Rfam. Lineage: Eukaryota; Metazoa; Chordata; Mammalia; Rodentia; Heteromyidae.